GAUGAACGCUGACAGAAUGCUUAACACAUGCAAGUCAACUUGAACUUCGGUUUGGGUGGCGGACGGGUGAGUAACGCGUAAAGAACUUGCCUCACAGAUAGGGACAACAUUUGGAAACGAAUGCUAAUACCUGAUAUUAUGAUUAUAUGGCAUCGUAUAAUUAUGAAAGCUAUAUGCGCUGUGAGAGAGCUUUGCGUCCCAUUAGCUAGUUGGAGAGGUAACGGCUCACCAAGGCGAUGAUGGGUAGCCGGCCUGAGAGGGUGAUCGGCCACAAGGGGACUGAGACACGGCCCUUACUCCUACGGGAGGAAGCAGUGGGGAAUAUUGGACAAUGGACCAAGAGUCUGAUCCAGCAAUUCUGUGUGCACGAUGAAGUUUUUCGGAAUGUAAAGUGCUUUCAGUUGGGAAGAAAAAAAUGACGGUACCAACAGAAGAAGUGACGGCUAAAUACGUG
RNAcentral lists this ribosomal RNA (454 nucleotides) under uncultured bacterium. Its description in RNAcentral is "partial 16S ribosomal RNA". It matches the Rfam family "Bacterial small subunit ribosomal RNA", at positions 28 to 507 of the family's 1533-position model. The record is from RNAcentral.